This 498-nucleotide unclassified non-coding RNA is filed under the name uncultured Flavobacteriaceae bacterium. RNAcentral describes it as "16S-23S ribosomal RNA intergenic spacer". The stretch from base 240 to 313 matches the Rfam family "tRNA". The record is from RNAcentral. Lineage: Bacteria; Pseudomonadati; Bacteroidota; Flavobacteriia; Flavobacteriales; Flavobacteriaceae.
AGAGAAAGAUAAAGUAUAGGUUCUUGAUUAGAUUAAGAAUUACUCUCGCUGUUAGUUCAAAUAAUACAAUAUAAGUAAAAAACAGAGUCUCGUAGCUCAGCUGGUUAGAGUACUACACUGAUAAUGUAGGGGUCGGCAGUUCGAGUCUGCCCGGGACUACUUUUUUAACUUAUAAGGAAAUUCUAGAAGUUGGGAUUCACAAUUCAUAAUUCUGAAUUCAUAAUUCUGAAUUUAAAAUUGGGGGAUUAGCUCAGCUGGCUAGAGCGCUUGCCUUGCACGCAAGAGGUCAUCGGUUCGACUCCGAUAUUCUCCACAGAUUUAGUCGAAAGACUAAAGUCUGAAAGUCACAAGUCCUCGGGCUUUAUGACAUUCGACUUUAUAACUUCAGACUAUAAUUAAAGUUCAUUGACAUAUUGAGAAAAGAAAAUAUAUUAAAUAUAUAGAAAGCACAAAUUUUUGGGUAUUCUACGUAAGUAGGAUAUUUAAUAAAACAAGUAC